CCUACGGGUGGCUGCAGUGGGGAAUAUUGGACAAUGGGGGCAACCCUGAUCCAGCCAUGCCGCGUGUGUGAAGAAGGCCCUCGGGUUGUAAAGCACUUUCAGUGAGGAAGAACGCCUGGUGGUUAAUACCCAUCAGGAAAGACAUCACUCACAGAAGAAGCACCGGCUAACUCCGUGCCAGCAGCCGCGGUAAUACGGAGGGUGCGAGCGUUAAUCGGAAUUACUGGGCGUAAAGCGCGCGUAGGUGGCUUGAUAAGCCGGUUGUGAAAGCCCCGGGCUCAACCUGGGAACGGCAUCCGGAACUGUCCAGCUAGAGUGCAGGAGAGGAAGGUAGAAUUCCCGGUGUAGCGGUGAAAUGCGUAGAGAUCGGGAGGAAUACCAGUGGCGAAGGCGGCCUUCUGGACUGACACUGACCCUGAGGUGCGAAAGCGUGGGUAGCAAACAGGAUUAGAUACCCUAGUAGUC
This 465-nucleotide ribosomal RNA is filed under the name Vreelandella stevensii. RNAcentral's name for it is "partial 16S ribosomal RNA". It matches the Rfam family "Bacterial small subunit ribosomal RNA", at positions 338 to 795 of the family's 1533-position model. Lineage: Bacteria; Pseudomonadati; Pseudomonadota; Gammaproteobacteria; Oceanospirillales; Halomonadaceae. The record is from RNAcentral.